GGGGUGUUUGGGGGAAGCAGCCUCUGUAAAUCCCAGUUUUCAGUACUGCUUGUGCCAUCCAGAGUGUGCUGGGCAGUGGAGGCCCAUCAUUCUGGGACCUGGUUGGGUGGACCUUCGGUGUAUCACAGAUUUUUUUCCCUCCAAGUUUCAGGAGAAACGGAUAAAUUCCUGGACACUUGCAUCCUCCCAAGCCUAAACCAGGAAGAAGUCGAAACCCUAAAUAGACCAAUAACAAGGUCUGAAGUUGAGGCAGCAAUUAAGAGCCUACCACACACAAAAAAGCCCAGGUCCAGAUGGAUUCAUGGCCGAAUUCUACCAGAUGUACAAAGAGGAGCUGGUACCAUUCCUUAUGAAACUGUUCUAAACAAUCCACAAAGAGGGAAUCCUUCCCAAAUCAUUUUAUGAGACCAACAUCAUCCUGAUACCAAAACCUGGCAGAGAUUCAGCAAGAAAAGAAAACUUCAGGCCAAUAUCCAUGACGAACACAGAUGCAAAAAUCUUCAAUAAAAUACUGGCAAAUCAAUUGCAACAGCACAUCAAAUAGCUUAUCCACUAUGAUCAAGUAGGCUUCAUCCCGGGGAUGCAAGGCUGGUUCAACAUACGCAAGUCUAUAAACGUAAUUCACCACAUAAACAGAACCAAAGACAAAAACCAUAUGAUGAUCUCCAUUGAUGCAGAGAAGGCCUUUGACAAAUUCAACAGCCCUUUAUGCUAAAAACCCUCAAUAAACUCGGUAUUGAUGGAACGUAUCUCAAAAUAAUAAAAGGUAUUUAUGACAAACCCACAGCCAAUAUCAUACUGAAUGGGCAAAAACUGAAAGCAUUCCCUUUG
This 831-nucleotide long non-coding RNA is filed under the name Callithrix jacchus (white-tufted-ear marmoset). Its description in RNAcentral is "lncRNA (ENSCJAG00000083174.1)". Lineage: Eukaryota; Metazoa; Chordata; Mammalia; Primates; Cebidae. The record is from RNAcentral.